GAGGGAAUUUUCUGCAAUGGGCGAAAGCCUGACAGAGCAAUACCGCGUGAAGGAUGAAGGCCUGUGGGUCGUAAACUUCUUUUUUCAAGGAGGAAAAAAUGACGUGUACUUGAAGAAUAAGCAUCGGCUAACUCCGUG
This 138-nucleotide ribosomal RNA is filed under the name uncultured bacterium. Its description in RNAcentral is "partial 16S ribosomal RNA". It matches the Rfam family "Bacterial small subunit ribosomal RNA", at positions 355 to 507 of the family's 1533-position model. The record is from RNAcentral.